This 443-nucleotide ribosomal RNA is filed under the name uncultured bacterium. RNAcentral's name for it is "partial 16S ribosomal RNA". It matches the Rfam family "Bacterial small subunit ribosomal RNA", at positions 338 to 795 of the family's 1533-position model. The record is from RNAcentral.
CCUACGGGGGGCAGCAGUGGGGAAUAUUGGGCAAUGGGCGCAAGCCUGACCCAGCAACGCCGCGUGAAGGAAGAAGGCUUUCGGGUUGUAAACUUCUUUUCUCAGGGACGAAGCAAGUGACGGUACCUGAGGAAUAAGCCACGGCUAACUACGUGCCAGCAGCCGCGGUAAUACGUAGGUGGCAAGCGUUAUCCGGAUUUACUGGGUGUAAGGGGCGUGUAGGCGGGAAAGCAAGUCAGAUGUGAAAACCAUGGGCUCAACCUGUGGACUGCAUUUGAAACUGUUUUUCUUGAGUACUGGAGAGGCAGACGGAAUUCCUAGUGUAGCGGUGAAAUGCGUAGAUAUUAGGAAGAACACCAGUGGCGAAGGCGGUCUGCUGGGCAGCAACUGACGCUGAGGCGCGAAAGCGUGGGGAGCAAACAGGAUUAGAUACCCGGGUAGUC